This is an unclassified non-coding RNA of Pongo abelii (Sumatran orangutan), 148 nucleotides long. It matches the Rfam family "Metazoan signal recognition particle RNA". From Rfam's summary of the family: The signal recognition particle (SRP) is a universally conserved ribonucleoprotein. It is involved in the co-translational targeting of proteins to membranes. NCBI's taxonomy places the organism in Eukaryota, Metazoa, Chordata, Mammalia, Primates, Hominidae. The record is from Ensembl.
GCCGGGCGUGGUGGUGCAUGCCUGUAAUCCCAGCUACUCGGGAGGCUGGGGCAGUAGAAUCGCUUGAACCCAGGAGGCAGAGGUUGCAGUGAGCCGAGAUUGUGUCACUGCACUCCAGCCUGGGCAACAGAGUGAGACUCUGUCUCAA